AUUGAACGCUGGCGGCAGGCUUAACACAUGCAAGUCGAGCGGGGGAAGGUAGCUUGCUACCGGACCUAGCGGCGGACGGGUGAGUAAUGCUUAGGAAUCUGCCUAUAGUGGGGGACAACAUCUCGAAAGGGAUGCUAAUACCGCAUACGUCCUACGGGAGAAAGCAGGGGAUCUUCGGACCGUGCGCUAAUAGAUGAGCCUAAGUCGGAUUAGCUAGUUGGGGGGGUAAAGGCCUACCAAGGCGACGAUCUGUAGCGGGUCUGAGAGGAUGAUCCGCAACACUGGGACUGAGAGACGGCCCAGACUCCUACGGGAGGCAGCAGUGGGGAAUAUUGGACAAUGGGGGGAACCCUGAUCCAGCCAUGCCGCGUGUGUGAAGAAGGCCUUAUGGUUGUAAAGCACUUUAAGCGAGGAGGAGGCUACUUUAGUUAAUACCUAGAGAUAGUGGACGUUACUCGCAGAAUAAGCACCGGCUAACUCUGUGCCAGCCGCCGCCGUAA
This 500-nucleotide ribosomal RNA is filed under the name uncultured bacterium. RNAcentral describes it as "partial 16S ribosomal RNA". It matches the Rfam family "Bacterial small subunit ribosomal RNA", at positions 30 to 523 of the family's 1533-position model. The record is from RNAcentral.